UACGUAGGGACCGAGCGUUGUCCGGAAUCAUUGGGCGUAAAGGGCUCGUAGGCGGCCAACUAAGUCGGAUGUGAAAUCCCCAGGCUUAACCUGGGAACUGCAUCCGAUACUGGAUGGCUUGAAUCCGGGAGAGGGAUGCAGAAUUCCAGGUGUAGCGGUGAAAUGCGUAGAUAUCUGGAGGAAUACCGGUGGCGAAGGCGGCAUCCUGGACCGGCAUUGACGCUGAGGGAGCGAAAGCCAGGGGAGCAAACGGG
This 254-nucleotide ribosomal RNA is filed under the name uncultured bacterium. RNAcentral's name for it is "partial 16S ribosomal RNA". It matches the Rfam family "Bacterial small subunit ribosomal RNA", at positions 524 to 776 of the family's 1533-position model. The record is from RNAcentral.